GAUUGCUUAACCUAAAUCAAGGUUCUUGUUUUGAAAACAAGUUAUAAAAGUUAAAAUCUUUUAGCAUUCU
This 70-nucleotide transfer RNA is filed under the name Simocephalus vetulus. RNAcentral describes it as "tRNA-Ser". It matches the Rfam family "tRNA". Rfam says of the family: Transfer RNA (tRNA) molecules are approximately 80 nucleotides in length. Their secondary structure includes four short double-helical elements and three loops (D, anti-codon, and T loops). Lineage: Eukaryota; Metazoa; Arthropoda; Branchiopoda; Diplostraca; Daphniidae. The record is from RNAcentral.